UAGUAGCGGCGAGCGAACAGGGAGAAGCCCAGCACUGAAUCGCGCGUCCACUGGGGCGCUGCGAAAUGUAGUGUUUGGGAGAGUCCACCAUUCCGUAUGUUGGUGACGCGUCCAAGUCCUUCUUGAAGGGGGCCAUUUACCCAUAGAGGGUGCCAGGCCCGUAGGACCGUUGCCAUUUGCGGAAGGACUUCUCCUUAGAGUCGGGUUGCUUGAGAGUGCAGCCCAAAGUAGGUGGUAAACUCCAUCUAAGGCUAAAUAUAACCACGAGACCGAUAGCGAACAAGUACCGUGAGGGAAAGUUGAAAAGAACUUUGAAGAGAGAGUUCAAUAGUACGUGAAACCGUUUAGGUGUAAACCUGAGAAACCCGAAAGUUCGAACUGAGAGAUUCAUCGUGUAUCGUCGCACGCGAGCUGCACUGGGACGACAAUUGUAGUUCGCUGCGGUUGCUCUUUGGGUAGACGUCGUGUGGCGAAUGCGUGCACUUCUCUCAUAGUAGGACGUCGCGACCCGUUGGGUGUCGGUCAAAGGCUUGCGGUGGAGCCCGUUUGUCGGCUUCGGCCGUGCGAGCGGACCCGUGAUGUCCCGGCCGGUGCUUGACGGUAUAUAGAUGGCGUAUGGCGCGACUUGGUCGCGUUCGGCACGAUGCAAGCGCUCUCGGUUACUCGCCUUCGGCCCUGUUCGAUCACGAGGCCGACUUUGCUGCUUGUGUCUGUGUCCCGAACAGUCUGUACGCCCGUCUGCGGCGCUUAUAGCUUUGGGUACUUUCAGGACCCGUCUUGAAACACGGACCAAGGAGUCWAGCAUGUGCGCGAGUCACUGGGACUAUCGAAUCCUAAAGGCGAAAUGAAAUUGAACGCAAGCUUGUGCUUGACCUAGGGAAGAUGGGUGUACUUAGAUGUCGCCUCGCACUCCCGGGGCGUCUCAUUCUCAUUGCGAGAAGAGGCGCACCUAGAGCGUACAUGCUGGGA
RNAcentral lists this ribosomal RNA (969 nucleotides) under Aenictosymbia cornuta. RNAcentral's name for it is "eukaryotic LSU rRNA". It matches the Rfam family "Eukaryotic large subunit ribosomal RNA", at positions 81 to 814 of the family's 3401-position model. The record is from RNAcentral. Lineage: Eukaryota; Metazoa; Arthropoda; Insecta; Coleoptera; Staphylinidae.